CCUUUUCUGCUGACGAGUGGCGGACGGGUGAGUAAAGUAUGGGGAUCUGCCGAAUGGAGGGGGACAACUGCUGGAAACGGCAGCUAAUACCGCAUAAAGUUGAGAGACCAAAGCGUGGGACUUUUUAGCCACGCGCCAUUUGAUGAACCCAUAUGGGAUUAGCUUGUUGGUAGGGUAAUGGCUUACCAAGGCGACGAUCUCUAGCUGGUCUGAGAGGAUGACCAGCCACACUGGAACUGAGACACGGUCCAGACUCCUAUGGGAGGCAGCAGUGGGGGAUAUUGCACAAUGGGGGAAACCCUGAUGCAGCCAUGCCGCGUGUAUGAAGAAGGCUUUCGGGUUGUAAAGUACUUUCGGUAAUGAGGAAGGUGUAUUAUCUAACAGGUAAUGCAAUUGACGUUAGUUACAGAAGAAGCACCGGCUAACUCCGUGCCAGCAGCCGCGGUAAUACGGAGGGUGCGAGCGUUAAUCGGAAUAACUGGGCGUAAAGGGCAUGCAGGCGGGUCAUUAAGUUAGGUGUGAAAUCCCCGGGCUCAACCUGGGAACUGCACUUAAAACUGGUGGUCUGGAGUAUUGUAGAGGAAGGUAGAAUUCCACGUGUAGCGGUGAAAUGCGUAGAGAUGUGGAGGAAUACCGGUGGCGAAGGCGGCCUUCUGGACAAAUACUGACGCUGAGAUGCGAAAGCGUGGUGAGCAAACAGGAUUAGA
This 707-nucleotide ribosomal RNA is filed under the name Serratia symbiotica. Its description in RNAcentral is "bacterial SSU rRNA". It matches the Rfam family "Bacterial small subunit ribosomal RNA", at positions 79 to 782 of the family's 1533-position model. Lineage: Bacteria; Pseudomonadati; Pseudomonadota; Gammaproteobacteria; Enterobacterales; Yersiniaceae. The record is from RNAcentral.